Oryzias melastigma (Indian medaka) is the source of this 1015-nucleotide long non-coding RNA. RefSeq lists it as uncharacterized. The record is from RefSeq and is a predicted model, not a curated record. Lineage: Eukaryota; Metazoa; Chordata; Actinopteri; Beloniformes; Adrianichthyidae. The transcript has 6 exons.
ACAUUUGGUCCAAUAACAAACGUUGAAAUACAAAACUGGUUCUAACCGGUUUCGUUCUUAUACUUCACUGUAUAAACUACAAAAACAUUCGUUUGCAUUAUACAUUCGCCAUUUUACACAGCAACUGCAAGGCUGUCGUGUGUUGUCUCUCCGGAAAAAGUCUGUGCAACAGCUAUAAUUUUUUUCACUUUCUGUCUUUUUAAUCCAACCCUAAAGAAAAAUGGGCAAAGCAAAGCAAACUGUUCCCCCUGAGCAAAGAAGAACCUCCCCGCGGCUGGCACUGAAACCUAAAGCUGCACCAGUGGAGACUAAGAAAAAGGCUGCUCCAAAGAAGGCGCCCAAAGCAAAGAAGGCCAAGCCAGCUGAGAAUGGAAACACCAAGGUUGAGGAGCCAAAGGCUGAAGCCACCGAAGCCAAAUAAAUAACAGUUGAUGUGCUUACUCUGUGUACUUGGUGAUUGUACAGUUUUAAAUAAGUAUUUUUUACCAAGUUUUAUAUUACAAAUGUCAUUUAUAGGUUUGUUUUGGGCUUGCACUUGAUGUAACAAAACUCUGUUUUCACAUUCAUAUCCAUUUUAUAUCAAAAUUACCGUCCAUAUUCUGUAGGUGUGGCAUUUUUAGUUUGUCUAAUCUGUUGUUUUGUUAUUUUAUCUUAUUUGAAACUGCUGAGGAGUAGAUGUUUUCAAGUUGGAUUUUGAAUUUAAUUUUAAAGGCAGCUAAAGCAUAGUAAAUUUUGCAGAAUAGGAACUCCUUUUGUUUUGAUGUUAAACUAAUAAAACAAUUGCUUACCAAAUGUUUUAAAACUGUAUGUGGACAUAAUACUUAGUCCGUUUAAAUGCCACAGAAAAUUACUGUCUACUAGGUCAAAAGUUUGAUAGAUCCCCUGAAAUUAUGUUUUUCAAUCUGGACAUCCUCUUAAAUUUUCUGUUAAGUUAUGUUUCUGUUAGGGCAGGAGGAAACUCUUCUGGUUUCAGUGGUUGAUCUUAAUGUUCUUGAAUAAAAACUUUUAAAAUGUC